RNAcentral lists this ribosomal RNA (428 nucleotides) under uncultured bacterium. RNAcentral describes it as "bacterial SSU rRNA". It matches the Rfam family "Bacterial small subunit ribosomal RNA", at positions 355 to 796 of the family's 1533-position model. The record is from RNAcentral.
UCGAGAAUCUUCCGCAAUGGGCGAAAGCCUGACGGAGCGACGCCGCGUGACUGAUGAAGUUCUUCGGGAUGUAAAGGUCUUUUAUGUGGGAGAAAGUUUAUUGAUAGUACCACAUGAAUAAGGGGUUGCUAAACUCGUGCCAGCAGCAGCGGUAAUACGAGUGCCCCAAGCGUUAUCCGGAAUCAUUGGGCGUAAAGGGUGUGUAGGUGGUCUAGUUAGUCUCAUGUCAAAUUCUUCGGCUCAACCGGGGUACCGCAUGGGAAACGGCUAGACUAGAGGAUGCGAGGGGUCUGUGGAACUCAUGGAGUAGGGGUGAAAUCCGUUGAUAUCAUGGGGAACACCGAAAGCGAAGGCAGCAGACUGGCGCACUCCUGACACUGAAACACGAAAGCGUAGGUAGCGAAUGGGAUUAGAUACCCGCGUAGUCC